Molecule: ribosomal RNA, 253 nt
Filed under: uncultured bacterium
Lineage: Bacteria
Description: partial 16S ribosomal RNA
Rfam family: Bacterial small subunit ribosomal RNA
Source: RNAcentral
UACGUAGGGUGCGAGCGUUAAUCGGAAUUACUGGGCGUAAAGCGUGCGCAGGCGGUUUUGUAAGCCAGAUGUGAAAUCCCCGGGCUUAACCUGGGAAUGGCAUUUGGGACUGGAAGGCUAGAGUACGGCAGAGGGGGGCGGAAUUCCACGUGUAGCAGUGAAAUGCGUAGAGAUGUGGAGGAACACCAAUGGCGAAGGCAGCCUUCUGGGCCAACACUGACGCUCAUGCACGAAAGCGUGGGGAGCAAACAGG